Molecule: non-coding RNA, 107 nt
Filed under: Bacillus sp. (in: firmicutes)
Lineage: Bacteria; Bacillati; Bacillota; Bacilli; Caryophanales; Bacillaceae
Also listed under: 1 other name
Description: Bacillus sp. SAM-I sequence
Rfam family: SAM riboswitch aptamer (S box leader)
About the family: The SAM riboswitch is found upstream of a number of genes which code for proteins involved in methionine or cysteine biosynthesis in Gram-positive bacteria.
Source: RNAcentral
AACUUAUCCAGAGAGGUGGAGGGAAUGGCCCAUUGAAACCUCAGCAACAGCUUCUUUUUAGAAGACUGUGCUAACUCCAACAAGCUUAACCGCUUGGAAGAUAAGUU